This 398-nucleotide ribosomal RNA is filed under the name uncultured bacterium. RNAcentral's name for it is "partial 16S ribosomal RNA". It matches the Rfam family "Bacterial small subunit ribosomal RNA", at positions 523 to 918 of the family's 1533-position model. The record is from RNAcentral.
AUACGUAGGGUGCGAGCGUUGUCCGGAAUUACUGGGCGUAAAGAGCUCGUAGGUGGUUUGUCGCGUCGUCUGUGAAAUUCCGGGGCUUAACUCCGGGCGUGCAGGCGAUACGGGCAUAACUUGAGUACUGUAGGGGAGACUGGAAUUCCUGGUGUAGCGGUGAAAUGCGCAGAUAUCAGGAGGAACACCGGUGGCGAAGGCGGUUAUCUGGGCAGUAACUGACGCUGAGGAGCGAAAACAUGGGUAGCGAACAGGAUGAGAUACCCUGGUAGUCCAUGCCGUAAACGGUGGGAGCUAGGUGUAGGGGUCUUCCACGACUUCUGUGCCGUAGCUAACGCAUUAAGCGCCCCGCCUGGGGAGUACGGCCGCAAGGCUAAAACUCAAAUGAAUUGACGGGG